UGGUGCCUGGAUUGGAGGAUGAGAAUAUUUAUUAUUCAGAUCGCUCUUCUCUUUCCAGUCAUCAGC
Mus spicilegus (steppe mouse) is the source of this 66-nucleotide microRNA precursor. NCBI's taxonomy places the organism in Eukaryota, Metazoa, Chordata, Mammalia, Rodentia, Muridae. The record is from Ensembl.